Long non-coding RNA from Poecile atricapillus (Black-capped chickadee), 150 nucleotides. RefSeq lists it as uncharacterized. Lineage: Eukaryota; Metazoa; Chordata; Aves; Passeriformes; Paridae. The record is from RefSeq and is a predicted model, not a curated record. The transcript has 3 exons.
CACCGGCUAAGGGAGUGUGGAUGCUUCCAGCCUCCAAAGGGGAUGCAAAAUCCAGACAUCCCCUGCCCAUUCCACGCUGCUCUCCUUGCUAAUUCCCAGGAUAAAACAGCUGCAAGUUUCUCCGAGUCAGGUGCUCUCCACAUCCCUGAG